AGAGAAUCUGAUACAGGUAG
Molecule: non-coding RNA, 20 nt
Filed under: Sclerotinia trifoliorum
Lineage: Eukaryota; Fungi; Ascomycota; Leotiomycetes; Helotiales; Sclerotiniaceae
Source: RNAcentral